AGUGAACGCUGGCGGUAGGCCUAACACAUGCAAGUCGAACGGCAGCACAGUAAGAGCUUGCUCUUACGGGUGGCGAGUGGCGGACGGGUGAGGAAUACAUCGGAAUCUACUUUUUCGUGGGGGAUAACGUAGGGAAACUUACGCUAAUACCUCAUACGACCUACGGGUGAAAGCAGGGGAUCUUCGGACCUUGCGCGAUUGAAUGAGCCGAUGUCGGAUUAGCUAGUUGGCGGGGUAAAGGCCCACCAAGGCGACGAUCCGUAGCUGGUCUGAGAGGAUGAUCAGCCACACUGGAACUGAGACACGGUCCAGACUACUACGGGAGGCAGCAGUGGGGAAUAUUGGACAAUGGGCGCAAGCCUGAUCCAGCCAUACCGCGUGGGUGAAGAAGGCCUUCGGGUUGUAAAGCCCUUUUGUUGGGAAAGAAAAGCAGCAGGUUAAUACCCCGCUGUUCUGACGGUACCCAAAGAAUAAGCACCGGCUAACUUCGUG
This 492-nucleotide ribosomal RNA is filed under the name uncultured bacterium. RNAcentral describes it as "partial 16S ribosomal RNA". It matches the Rfam family "Bacterial small subunit ribosomal RNA", at positions 29 to 507 of the family's 1533-position model. The record is from RNAcentral.